GUGGGGAAUAUUGGACAAUGGGCGCAAGCCUGAUCCAGCCAUGCCGCGUGAGUGAUGAAGGCCUUAGGGUUGUAAAGCUCUUUCAGUAGGGAAGAUAAUGACGGUACCUACAGAAGAAGCCCCGGCUAACUUCGUGCCAGCAGCCGCGGUAAUACGAAGGGGGCUAGCGUUGUUCGGAUUUACUGGGCGUAAAGCGCACGUAGGCGGAUUGGUCAGUUAGAGGUGAAAUCCCGAAGCUCAACUUCGGAACUGCCUUUAAUACUGCCAGUCUCGGGUCCGGAAGAGGUGAGUGGAACUCCUAGUGUAGAGGUGGAAUUCGUAGAUAUUAGGAAGGACACCAGUGGCGAAGGCGGCUCACUGGUCCGGUACUGACGCUGAGGUGCGAAAGCGUGGGGAGCAAACAGGAUUAGAAACCCGGGUAGUCC
Molecule: ribosomal RNA, 425 nt
Filed under: uncultured bacterium
Lineage: Bacteria
Description: partial 16S ribosomal RNA
Rfam family: Bacterial small subunit ribosomal RNA
Source: RNAcentral